GACGAACGCUGGCGGCGGGCUUAACACAUGCAAGUCGAACGGAAAGGCCCUGCUUUUGUGGGGUGCUCGAGUGGCGAACGGGUGAGUAACACGUGAGUAACCUGCCCUUGACUUUGGGAUAACUUCAGGAAACUGGGGCUAAUACCGGAUAGGAGCUCCUGCUGCAUGGUGGGGGUUGGAAAGUUUCGGCGGUUGGGGAUGGACUCGCGGCUUAUCAGCUUGUUGGUGGGGUAGUGGCUUACCAAGGCUUUGACGGGUAGCCGGCCUGAGAGGGUGACCGGCCACAUUGGGACUGAGGUACGGCCCAGACUCCUACGGGAGGCAGCAGUGGGGAAUAUUGCACAAUGGGCGGAAGCCUGAUGCAGCAACGCCGCGUGCGGGAUGACGGCCUUCUGGUUGUAAACCGCUUUCGCCUGUGACGAAGCGUGAGUGACGGUAAUGGGUAAAGAAGCACCGGCUAACUACGUG
RNAcentral lists this ribosomal RNA (468 nucleotides) under uncultured bacterium. Its description in RNAcentral is "partial 16S ribosomal RNA". It matches the Rfam family "Bacterial small subunit ribosomal RNA", at positions 28 to 507 of the family's 1533-position model. The record is from RNAcentral.